AGUUAAAACUCAUGUUACUAAAAUUGAAAUUCAGUGCCAAAUUUUGCUUUUAGACCAAUCGGCUAGUGUCAGUCGCUCCAAAAAAAUUACACCCAAAAUGCAUAUUCAGUCUUCUCUAUUCUAUUGUGAAACACAUAACUUUUAUGCAAGAAAAUAAAAAUCUGAGUCCUCGUGAUCUUCAUAGUUUUGCUCAAGGUCCAUUAUUUUAUGUGAAAGAGAGGAGAUAUCGUUACUGUAGAGUAAUGAAGUUUUUGGAAGUGAAAGUUGAAGCAUGAAAGUUUUUGGAAGGCCACAGCCGCUGGUGAAUCAGUCUGACGACAUCUAAAGCGAUUUGUGUACGCAUUUUUAUAACCUCAUCAAAUGUUACAUUCCUUUCCAUAUGUUUUGGAAAUCAUGGAGGGAAAAAUCCAGAAACCAGAGGAGCCAAAUGAGAGAUGCAAAUGAGACAACACAAAAGAAGAAUCAAAAUGAUCUUAAAAGCAUAAUGUCAUAGGAUACUGAACCAAAACAAGAUUCAUGGGAAAUGAGGAAACCAGUUUCUAAUGAAGCAUUAUAUUUCUGAGAUUUUGAUACUACAUCAAUAUUUAAUGUAAACAUGGCUCAUAUGUAAAGCUGAUCAUUUGAAUCAGAUUGGAUUGGAUUGGACAAUAUUAUUAUAUAUAGACUACUGAUGCUGCCUUAAAGCUACAACAACUUUUACAAAAGGGUUGGAAAAUCAAGAGAAUUAUUACGUAGUUUC
Argiope bruennichi is the source of this 739-nucleotide long non-coding RNA. RefSeq lists it as uncharacterized. Lineage: Eukaryota; Metazoa; Arthropoda; Arachnida; Araneae; Araneidae. The transcript has 4 exons. The record is from RefSeq and is a predicted model, not a curated record.